GCUGAGGCGUGAUGACGAGGCACUACGGUGCUGAAGCAACAAAUGCCCUGCUUCCAGGAAAAGCCUCUAAGCAUCAGGUAACAUCAAAUCGUACCCCAAACCGACACAGGUGGUCAGGUAGAGAAUACCAAGGCGCUUGAGAGAACUCGGGUGAAGGAACUAGGCAAAAUGGUGCCGUAACUUCGGGAGAAGGCACGCUGAUAUGUAGGUGAAGCGACUUGCUCGUGGAGCUGAAAUCAGUCGAAGAUACCAGCUGGCUGCAACUGUUUAUUAAAAACACAGCACUGUGCAAACACGAAAGUGGACGUAUACGGUGUGACGCCUGCCCGGUGCCGGAAGGUUAAUUGAUGGGGUUAGCGGUAACGCGAAGCUCUUGAUCGAAGCCCCGGUAAACGGCGGCCGUAACUAUAACGGUCCUAAGGUAGCGAAAUUCCUUGUCGGGUAAGUUCCGACCUGCACGAAUGGCGUAAUGAUGGCCAGGCUGUCUCCACCCGAGACUCAGUGAAAUUGAACUCGCUGUGAAGAUGCAGUGUACCCGCGGCAAGACGGAAAGACCCCGUGAACCUUUACUAUAGCUUGACACUGAACAUUGAGCCUUGAUGUGUAGGAUAGGUGGGAGGCUUUGAAGUGUGGACGCCAGUCUGCAUGGAGCCGGCCUUGAAAUACCACCCUUUAAUGUUUGAUGUUCUAACGUUGGCCCCUGAUCGGGGUUGCGGACAGUGUCUGGUGGGUAGUUUGACUGGGGCGGUCUCCUCCUAAAGAGUAACGGAGGAGCACGAAGGUUGGCUAAUCCUGGUCGGACAUCAGGAGGUUAGUGCAAUGGCAUAAGCCAGCUUGACUGCGAGCGUGACGGCGCGAGCAGGUGCGAAAGCAGGUCAUAGUGAUCCGGUGGUUCUGAAUGGAAGGGCCAUCGCUCAACGGAUAAAAGGUACUCCGGGGAUAACAGGCUGAUACCGCCCAAGAGUUCAUAUCGACGGCGGUGUUUGGCACCUCGAUGUCGGCUCAUCACAUCCUGGGGCUGAAGUAGGUCCCAAGGGUAUGGCUGUUCGCCAUUUAAAGUGGUACGCGAGCUGGGUUUAGAACGUCGUGAGACAGUUCGGUCCCUAUCUGCCGUGGGCGCUGGAGAACUGAGGGGGGCUGCUCCUAGUACGAGAGGACCGGAGUGGACGCAUCACUGGUGUUCGGGUUGUCAUGCCAAUGGCACUGCCCGGUAGCUAAAUGCGGAAGAGAUAAGUGCUGAAAGCAUCUAAGCACGAAACUUGCCCCGAGAUGAGUUCUCCCUGAGACUUUAAGUCUCCUGAAGGAACGUUGAAGACGACGACGUUGAUAGGCCGGGUGUGUAAGCGCAGCGAUGCGUUGAGCUAA
RNAcentral lists this ribosomal RNA (1365 nucleotides) under Escherichia coli. RNAcentral's name for it is "partial 23S ribosomal RNA". It matches the Rfam family "Bacterial large subunit ribosomal RNA", at positions 1555 to 2894 of the family's 2925-position model. The record is from RNAcentral. Lineage: Bacteria; Pseudomonadati; Pseudomonadota; Gammaproteobacteria; Enterobacterales; Enterobacteriaceae.